This 253-nucleotide ribosomal RNA is filed under the name uncultured bacterium. RNAcentral's name for it is "partial 16S ribosomal RNA". It matches the Rfam family "Bacterial small subunit ribosomal RNA", at positions 524 to 776 of the family's 1533-position model. The record is from RNAcentral.
UACAGAGGUCUCAAGCGUUGUUCGGAUUCAUUGGGCGUAAAGGGUGCGUAGGCGGCGCGGUAAGUCGGGUGUGAAAUCUCGGAGCUUAACUCCGAAACUGCAUUCGAUACUGCCGUGCUCGAGGACUGGAGAGGAGACUGGAAUUUACGGUGUAGCGGUGAAAUGCGUAGAUAUCGUAAGGAAGACCGGUGGCGAAGGCGGGUCUCUGGACAGUUCCUGACGCUGAGGCACGAAGGCCAGGGGAGCAAACGGG